GAGCAUACGUCUUGGGGCUAAUUAUCCCCGGGUGGCAGAGAGAGGGAACGAAAAGCUGUUGAAGAUAAACGAGCGGCUCUCGACCGGAACAUGAGUUUGGAUACGAACCCGAGCCGGAGCAGGAGCACAAGGUCUCUAUAAAUGCGUGCAUGCGUACGUUCAUGAUUUCCAGUCGGUGGGAGGUUAGCUUUCGGUGAGAACGAUAGGCGUCCUCUUCCCUCUUCUUCUUUCCUUUCUUUCGCUCUUCUUCCUUUUCCUAUUCUUCUUGUUGUCCUCAAACUUGUGCAGUAUGCCUUAACCUCAUUAAAUCCGAUACAUCUUACAAUCGUCUAUAGUUGCGUAACUUCGAUAGUGAAUUGUUGUGAAUUUAUGUUGUUGAUUAUAUUCUUUCCGCCUAAAAACUAACGUUGUUUUGUAUACGUGAAAUAGACAAAAGUGUGGAAUUAAUUCAAAGUGAUAAACAAUUGCAGCUUGUAGGGAGUUUUAAAAUUACAUACGUUGUUUCAGUGAUCAUAGGAAGCAUAACAUCUCGAUUCGACGUUCAAAAUCGACGUGUAAGUCGAUAAAAUGCACACGCAGUAAAAUUACAAGAAUCGAUUAGUGGAACGAUAUUAAUAUUCGAAAUGGUGUUAAACGGAACGAAUUAACGCUCGCUUAGCAUUUGAACGUUGAAUUCGACAGCCUGAUAAUCACGUGCUUGCACGAAACGUCAGUUGCGCGUGCGAACAGUGAACAGUUGAACGAGCGUUCAUCACUGACAUUUCACUGGGAGAAACAAGAGAGUGCAAAUACUGUGUUCGUGAGUCAGUCGACAAGUGUACUUCUAUAAACAACUCCAAGGAUUCGAUCGGAGUAUCGAACUGCGUAAUUCGAGAACUGCCGCGACAAACGUCGAGUAAUCCUUUGUUUUAUACUGUUGACCUCGCGACGAUAACGUUGAACCGAUAUCCGCCGCUCCAGACGUAAUGCAUUAUGUAUACGACUGUUGAAUCAAAAAAGGAAAGAAUCUUUUAACGCGGUUCAUAAAAGUAUCAGAACACUUGCCAUACACAAUUGCUAUGUAUUAUAUUGUACGCGUUAUAUGAAACAUUUGUCUCAUAGCUACUUCGUUACAAUGCUAAUGAGAUUGUAAAAUAUGAAAAUAUAACGCACAUAAUACAUUCGUAAAAGAUUGCUAUACCAAUUACAUGUUUGAUCUCAAAUAUAUAUAUGGUGUACGAAAAUUUAUUUAAAAAACAGAAAAACAACGAAGAUUAUGAGAUGACAUGUAGCGAAUAUAUUGCUCAAUUUUAUAAAUAAGGAAGGAACAGAAGAGCGUCAUAGUUAUUGAUUUGGAAAAAUAAUCUUAUAUUUGUAUUUCGAAAAGAACUCUGUAGCGAAUUCAAAAUGUGGAAUAUUUUGGAGCAAUUUCUAUUACUAGGAUUACUGCUAGGUAUUAUAUAUUGUUUUUUUACGUCGACAUUCGAUUUUUGGAAGAACCGUGGCGUCCCUUUCCGAAAACCUAUAGUAUUAUUUGGAAAUUUUGCGUCAUUGUUAUUGUUCCAAAAAUCGUUACCAGAAGGUAUAAAAGAUAUGUACGAGUGGUUCAAAGACGAGAGGUAUUUUGGAGCGUUCCGUGUUAUGUCGCCUGUACUGAUCCUACGGGACCCAGAUCUCGUGAAAGACAUUUGCGUGAAAAGCUUCGCUUGCUUCACGAACCGUGGAAUACCGGUAAACUCACAGAACUCGUUAUCCGCCCACUUGUUCAACCUAGAAGGGAAAAGAUGGAAGAGCCUAAGAUCCAAACUGACCCCAGCCUUUUCAUCCGGCAAAUUGAAAAGAAUGUUCUACCUGCUAGCCGAGUGCGGCGAGGAGUUUCAAAAAUUAAUCGACGCGUCCUCCGAGACCCAUCGUCCAUUUGAGAUUCGCGAGCUAGCGGCGAAAUUUACGAUAGACGUCAUUGGCAGCUGUGCUUUUGGCAUACAAAUAAAUGCUCUCACCGAUGAGGAAUCCGAGUUUCACAGGACUGCUAAGAAACUCUCGAAACCAAGUUACACAGCUACCCUCUGGAGAAUGCUCAGGACAGCCAUGCCAAAAUUGUACAAAUUUUUGGAUGUUCAAGUGAUAGAUCCUGAGGUAAGCAAAUUUUUCAAGAAUGUAGUGUCGCAGAUGAUUAACGAACGAGAGGAACAUGGUAUUAAGAGACACGACUUUAUGGACCUGUUAAUUGAAUUGAAAAAUAAAGGAUCAUUGGAUGAGUGUGGAAGUGGACAAGUUUGCAAUGACGAAGAUGAGAAAAUUACUGAAGAGAUAGAAUUGGACGAGAACAGCAUUGCAGCGCAAGCGUUUGUGUUUUUCGCUGCCGGUUAUGAAACGUCCUCGAACACCAUAGCUUUCUGUCUUCACGAGUUGGCGUUAAAUACAGAAAUUCAGGAAAAAACGAGACGCGACAUACAAGACGCCAUUGACAGCAGAAAUGGCAAACUGUCUUACGAUGCUAUCCAAGACAUGAAGUAUCUUGAUAUGGUUAUUGCAGAAACGCUACGGAAAUAUCCUCCAGCUCCAAUGCUAUCCCGAAGAUGCGAGCACCAAUACCAAAUACCAGGAAGUAAGGUUGAAUUACCAGUAGGCAUGCGGGUAAUCAUACCGAUUUAUGGAUUUCACCAUGAUCCAGAUUAUUACCCGGAUCCAGCAACAUUUGAUCCCGAAAGAUUCACAGAAGAAAAUAAACGAACCAGACAUCCUUAUACGUAUCUUCCAUUUGGCGAGGGACCUCGAAAUUGCAUAGGUAUGCGGUUCGCAUUGCUACAAAUCAAAGUGGGGGUAAUUUCGUUUCUCAGAAAGCACAGAGUGGAAACAUGCGAGAGAACGAUAACGCCGAUAAAAUUUAGUAGACGAAGUCUCGUGACAACUAGCGAAAAAGGAUUCUGGCUUAAAAUCAUACAAUACUCUUAAACUUGCAAAAUUUAAAAAAGAACACCACCAAUGUCUGUUGUGUACUUAAAAUACCUCAAAGAAAUUAUCAAUAUUAUUAACUACCUUAGUAUUAAUGCGGCCAGUAGGACAAUUUUAAUCUCACUUUUUAUAUUUUAUUUUUUUUAUUCUUAUAUUUCAUGAAUAUUUAUCAAAAAUUGUUAGUGUUACUUUCUACAAUAUUUAAUUUUCAGUGAUAUUUUAGGUUACCAUCAGUAAUAUAUUUAUAAUUAUUAGUAAUUAUGAACAGGAUAAUUCACUUUGUACAUUCUUAAUGGGUCGUAUUUAUAGUUAGUGUUAUUGCACUAUUUUUGAAAAUGAUAUUAUUACACAAAUGAAACAUUUAUAUUUUUGUAAACAUUUUAUCCAUUAGACAUUAUAAUGUAUUAAUAUAAUAAAUAUCAUACGUGUAUUAAUACACGACAAAUAUCUGAAUCUGUGUAUGUGUUAUUAUUAUAGAUAAUAAAUAACCGAUAUGAGAAAGAGA
Bombus impatiens (common eastern bumble bee) is the source of this 3439-nucleotide RNA transcript. It is a transcript of the gene named probable cytochrome P450 6a13, with no coding region annotated. The transcript has 6 exons. The record is from RefSeq and is a predicted model, not a curated record. NCBI's taxonomy places the organism in Eukaryota, Metazoa, Arthropoda, Insecta, Hymenoptera, Apidae.